This 512-nucleotide ribosomal RNA is filed under the name uncultured bacterium. Its description in RNAcentral is "partial 16S ribosomal RNA". It matches the Rfam family "Bacterial small subunit ribosomal RNA", at positions 28 to 507 of the family's 1533-position model. The record is from RNAcentral.
GAUGAACGCUGGCGGCGUGCCUAAUACAUGCAAGUCGAACGAAACUUCUUUAUCACCGAGUGCUUGCACUCACCGAUAAAGAGUUGAGUGGCGAACGGGUGAGUAACACGUGGGCAGCCUGCCCAAAAGAGGGGGAUAACACUUGGAAACAGGUGCUAAUACCGCAUAACCAUAGUUACCGCAUGGUAACUAUGUAAAAGGUGGCUAUACUACCGCUUUUGGAUGGGCCCGCGGCGCAUUAGCUAGUUGGUAGGGUAAAGGCUUACCAAGGCAAUGAUGCGUAGCCGAAUUGAGAGGUUGAUCGGCCACAUUGGGACUGAGACACGGCCCAAACUCCUACGGGAGGCAGCAGUAGGGAAUCUUCCACAAUGGGCGAAAGCCUGAUGGAGCAACGCCGCGUGGGUGAAGAAGGUCUUCGGAUCGUAAAACCCUGUUGUUAGAGAAGAAAGUGCGUGAGAGUAACUGUUCACGUUUCGACGGUAUCUAACCAGAAAGCCACGGCUAGCUACGUG